AUGGCGAUGGACCAAGAGCUGCCGCUUGAGCUUGGCGACUUCUCCAUCGCCAUGGACGCGUCGUCCCUCGCCGCCCUCUGGCCGGCGACGCCGCUGCUCCCGCCGGAUCUCCACUCUACUUACCCAGACCAAGAGAGCUCCUCGUCGCCGUGGCGUGCCAUGCAGAUCGUGGAGGAGGUGAGGCGGAGGCUGGCCGCGGCCACGGCGGAGCUGGAGGCGGCCAAGGAGGAGGUGCGCCGCAAGGAGCAGAGCAUCGCGGCCCUGCUGGAGCUCGUGCGCCUCACGGCCGAGGAGCUUGACCAGCUCCGGCAGCACCUUGAGCAGCUCCGGCAGCACCUGCAGCUGGCCCGCGAGCUGGCGGCAACGACGACGUCAAGCAGCAGCGACUCGGGCGCGAGCGUCCCAACCUUCUCCCCACCAGCCGCCAACCCCCCCACCUUGCUCGAGGCCGGCACCACCGUUACAGCCAUCGCCAUAGAUACCAGGAGCGCGCCAGUUGCUAUCGACGACGACAGGACCGAGGCGGUGCUCGAGCAGCUGGCGGCCAAGAGGCCAUUGCCGCAGCGGGGGCAGCUACUGCAGGCGGUGAUGGAGGCAGGGCCUCUCCUGGAGAACCUGCUGGUGGCAGGGCCGGUGCCGCAGUGGCGCAACCCGCCACCUGUGCAGCCGAUCCCCAGCCCCGUCAUAUCGGCGCCUUCAGGCUCUCGUGCCCCCAUGGGUUGGGGGCCAUGGUAG
Molecule: ribosomal RNA, 735 nt
Filed under: Triticum aestivum (bread wheat)
Lineage: Eukaryota; Viridiplantae; Streptophyta; Magnoliopsida; Poales; Poaceae
Description: partial small subunit ribosomal RNA
Source: RNAcentral